Roseburia inulinivorans CAG:15 is the source of this 154-nucleotide non-coding RNA. The record is from Rfam. Lineage: Bacteria; Bacillati; Bacillota; Clostridia; Lachnospirales; Lachnospiraceae.
GGAAUUCUUCGGGGCAGGGUGAUACGAUAACGUAGAUUCCCGACCGACGGUGAUCUGGCGAUCAAUGAAUGCCAGAAAGUCCGUGACCUGCGCAAGCAGCUGAUCCGGUGUGAGUCCGGAACCGACAGUAUAGUCUGGAUGAGAGAAGAAAGCG